RNAcentral lists this ribosomal RNA (315 nucleotides) under uncultured Tomentella. RNAcentral's name for it is "eukaryotic LSU rRNA". Lineage: Eukaryota; Fungi; Basidiomycota; Agaricomycetes; Thelephorales; Thelephoraceae. The record is from RNAcentral.
AACGCACCUUGCGCCCUUUGGCCAUUCCGAAGGGCAUGCCUGUUUGAGCAUCAUGAACACCUCAACUCUCAUGGCUUGCAUGAUGAGCUUGGACUUUGGGGGUUUUGCUGGCCUGUGGGUUGGCUCCUCUCAAAUGAAUCAGCUUUCCAGUGUUUGGUGGCGUCACAGGUGUGAUAACUAUCUACGCUUGUGGGUUGCCUGCCAGGUAGCCUCUGGUGACAGAGGCUUGCUGGAGCUUAUAAACGUCUUUCCUCGGUGAGGAAAGCUUCUUGAACGUUCGAUCUCAAAUCAGGUAGGAUUACCCGCUGAACUUAA